This is a transfer RNA of Naematelia encephala, 131 nucleotides long. It matches the Rfam family "tRNA". Rfam says of the family: Transfer RNA (tRNA) molecules are approximately 80 nucleotides in length. NCBI's taxonomy places the organism in Eukaryota, Fungi, Basidiomycota, Tremellomycetes, Tremellales, Naemateliaceae. The record is from Rfam.
GGACGAGUAGCAUAACGGUCAAUGCGCUGAUAAUGCACUUUCUCCUUGCCGCUGAGGUGAGCUCUGCCCGCCGAAUGCGACAAGGGGCGAGUUAGAUCAUGAGAAUCUAGGUUCGAUUCCUAGCUCGUCCU